UACGGAGGGGGCGAGCGUUAUUCGGAAUUAUUGAGCAUAAAGAGCGCGUAGACGGCUAGACAAGUCAAAGGUGAAAUCCCUCGGCUCAACUGAGGAACUGCCUUUGAAACUGUCUGGCUUGAGGCCGGGAGAGGGUAGCGGAAUUCCCAGUGUAACGAUGAAAUGCGUAGAUAUUGGGAGGAACACCAAUGGCGAAAACAGCUACCUGGACCGAUACUGACGCUGAUGCGCGAAAGCGUGGAUAGCAAACAGG
This 253-nucleotide ribosomal RNA is filed under the name uncultured bacterium. RNAcentral describes it as "partial 16S ribosomal RNA". It matches the Rfam family "Bacterial small subunit ribosomal RNA", at positions 524 to 776 of the family's 1533-position model. The record is from RNAcentral.